AGAAACAAGCUAUGUAUGAACUACAGAUUAAGUGUGGACAAUGCAUACAUGUCUUUCUGAAGAACAACAACAGUGACCUGGAAAAUGCUCAGAUUGAAGAAGUGAAGAAGAUUUUAAUGGAGUGAGAACACACAGCAAGCACACAAGGAUAAAACAUUUAUGAGUUGUUUGAAAUAAUGAUUUAAAUGGUGUUGGUGUUGAAAAUGUCUUUUCAAAUCUGGUAUGAACAGAUUCUACUUAUCCUUUACCUCUUUGUAGUGGGGCCAAACUAGUGAUUGCUUAAAAUUAAUCUAUUCAUUCAUUCAUUAAGUAAUUAAAAUAUAUUAUAUAUUUAUGUGAUUUAGACUUAGUAGUGUACUAGCCUACAUGCAGGUUUUAUAUCAGUUAGUUCAUUUGUCAAGCCCAAGGUGAGGGAAAUAGAAGAUUACAUUGUGGCCUACAAAAUGUCUACAAAAAAGUAAAAUUUUAUUGUUCCAUACAAAUCAUUCAUUCAUUUAUUUAUUUGUUUAUUUGUUUGAGCCAGGUACAACAAAAUUCAUAAACAGUAACAAAAAUAGUGAUUUGUACAUGAACAUAUUUGGGACGUGGUUCUCAAAAGGAGGAGGAUGAAGUUUAAAAAUCUUAGAGUCCUACGACAAUUGUUUAACAUAAUCACGUGGUUCACUUUUUUUAAUAUAUAUAUCACCUUUGGGGUGCUUACCUGUCAUUUGCAGAAAUAUACACACAUAUAUACAAAAACAUAUCCACACAUACAUACAUACAUAUACGCAUCAUAUAUAUCCAGUACAUAUACUCAAUAUAAAUGUUCAUACACAUAUACAUCACACACAUAUACACACAUGCAGAAACAUAUUUUGUUUGUGGUUGUACAAACUAAUAAUACAGUAAUGUUAUCGUAGGCACAAAGUUUAUUGUUUAUGAUCGUAUAAAAUAAACAGUAAUGAGAAUGAAA
Boleophthalmus pectinirostris (great blue-spotted mudskipper) is the source of this 952-nucleotide long non-coding RNA. RefSeq lists it as uncharacterized. The transcript is spliced from 2 exons. NCBI's taxonomy places the organism in Eukaryota, Metazoa, Chordata, Actinopteri, Gobiiformes, Gobiidae. The record is from RefSeq and is a predicted model, not a curated record.